CCUACGGGUGGCAGCAGUGAGGAAUAUUGGUCAAUGGGCGAGAGCCUGAACCAGCCAAGUCGCGUGAGGGAGUACUGCCCUAUGGGUUGUAAACCUCUUUUGUCGGGGAGCAAAAGCCGGACGUGUCCCGGACUGCGUGUAUCCGAAGAAAAAGCAUCGGCUAACUCCGUGCCAGCAGCCGCGGUAAUACGGAGGAUGCGAGCGUUAUCCGGAUUUUUUGGGUGUAAAGGGCGUGCAGCCGGAGAGACAAGUCAGAUGUGAAAUCCACGGGCUCAACCCGUGAACUGCAUUUGAAACUGUUUCCCUUGAGUGUCGGAGAGGUAAUCGGAAUUCCUUGGGUAGCGGUGAAAUGCGUAGAUAUAAGGAAGAACACCAGUGGCGAAGGCGGAUUACUGGACGAUAACUGACGGUGAGGCGCGAAAGCGUGGGGAGCAAACAGGAUUAGAUACCCCAGUAGUC
RNAcentral lists this ribosomal RNA (459 nucleotides) under uncultured bacterium. Its description in RNAcentral is "partial 16S ribosomal RNA". It matches the Rfam family "Bacterial small subunit ribosomal RNA", at positions 338 to 795 of the family's 1533-position model. The record is from RNAcentral.